Molecule: ribosomal RNA, 800 nt
Filed under: Frankliniella occidentalis (western flower thrips)
Lineage: Eukaryota; Metazoa; Arthropoda; Insecta; Thysanoptera; Thripidae
Description: eukaryotic LSU rRNA
Rfam family: Eukaryotic large subunit ribosomal RNA
Source: RNAcentral
GACCUCAGUUCAGGUGAGAUUACCGGCUGAAUUUAAGCAUAUUACUAAGCCGAGGAAAGAACUAACAAGGAUUCCCCUAGUAGCAGCGAGCGAACAGGGAAGAGCCCAGCGCUGAAUCCCCCGGGCCUCGCUCGGCGGGAAAUGUAGCGUUUGGGAGGGCCCGUCAACACGGCGACUCGCUCACUGGUUCAAGUCCAACUUGAAUGGGGCCACACAGAGGGUGACAGGCCCGUAGAGCAGGAGCGGUUGUCGUGUGGGUCUCUCCUUAGAGUCGGUUUGCUUGAGAGUGCAGACUUAAGUGGGUGGUAAACUCCAUCUAAGGCUAAAUAUGACCACGAGACCGAUAGCACACAAGUACCGUGAGGGAAAGGUGAAAAGAACUUUGAAGAGAGAGUUCAAGAGUACGUGAAACUGAAGUGGUGUAAACGGACGAGUUCGAAAAGUCCGAAUGGUGAGAUUCAAGCUUACCGUGCCGGUGGCCCUCGGGUUCAGAUGGCGUCGUCAGCUCGGGCUUCGGUUCGGGUCAUACGGCGUCACUCGUCCUGGGGGUAUCUGUCUGGUGCGGUGGGCUGCACUUCUCGCCUAGUAGGACGUCGCGACCCGUUGGGAUGUUCCGUUCACUGGCCCUCGGUGGAGCCCGCGCCGGAGCGUGGCCUUGUGCCGCGUUGCUGUUUGCACGGACCCGGGGUGACCUGAUCGGCGCCCGACGGUAUCAAAGCUUGGGAAGAGGCCGCACAGAGGAUGCGUUCGAUGGCCGUUUCGGCCUACACUCGGACAGGCCUGCACCCGGUCAGCGGCGC